This 253-nucleotide ribosomal RNA is filed under the name uncultured bacterium. Its description in RNAcentral is "partial 16S ribosomal RNA". It matches the Rfam family "Bacterial small subunit ribosomal RNA", at positions 524 to 776 of the family's 1533-position model. The record is from RNAcentral.
UACGUAGGGUGCAAGCGUUGUCCGGAAUUAUUGGGCGUAAAGAGCUCGUAGGCGGCUUGUUACGUCGGCUGUGAAAUCCCGGGGCUUAACUCCGGGCGUGCAGCCGAUACGGGCAGGCUAGAGUCCGGUAGGGGAGACUGGAAUUCCUGGUGUAGCGGUGAAAUGCGCAGAUAUCAGGAGGAACACCGGUGGCGAAGGCGGGUCUCUGGGCCGGUACUGACGCUAAGGAGCGAAAGCGUGGGGAGCGAACAGG